AAUCAUUUCAUUAUUUCGUGCUGGCCUGUUGUUUCGACAACAUUGCAGUAAUCUUCGUCGUGGAUCUAACUGAUGACCAACUAGUAAUGUUCUGUCGAUUAACUAAGGUAGUUUGCAAUGCUAUCGAAACAACAAAACAGUAUUUCAAGAUAGUCUCUUUCACCCAGAUGCAUUAAAAGGAGGUAUUCUAGUGUAGCAUUUGAAAAACACAUCUUGCCAUGCAUUUCCAUGUAACUUAUGAUGUUUAAAAUAUUUUAGUCAAAGAGUUUCAUAACCAUUUGUAAUCAUACCGUCUCGUUGCAAAACGUGCAAACAAAAAUCGCUUUCGUAUCAUCAAAAACAGCGGAUGUAUUUCAGGUACAAAAUCUUAGGUGACUCAUCCUGUAUACUAUAAACUACAGAUACGCGAAACAACAGUCAAAUGGCUUUGUAGUGAUAACGAAAAAAGGUUGUAAACUUGUUGGUGCGACAUAAAAAUGAAUUAAAUCAUCUGAUUUAACGAAAAGAAAUGAUCAAUUAACAAGUUAACAGCGGACUCAUUACACUCGGUUAACAGUUUAUUCAUUGAAAUACUUGACAAAGUUUGACUGUAGUAUCUUUACAGGUGGAAUGCCAUUUUGUUCACGACUUCAGCCGUAUCGUUUGUAGUUUGUAUGAUAGGAACAACGAUCUUCACAGAUUCCAGACGAGGGCAAUUAUCAUACAGAGCAUGGCUUCCCUACGAUUAUUCCUCUCCUACUUUAUUUACGAUCACUCUCGCUUUUCAAACUUCAAGUGUUACACUCUGCACGUUGAUAAGCGUUUGCUGUGAUUGCUUAUUCAGCGGCUUGAUGACCCACACGCGCUGUGUUUUAGAGAUACUUGAACUCCGGUUGAAAAAUAUUAUAGAAUAUAGAGCCGAUUCAAUGAAACAGUGUGUUCGACUUCAUAAACAUAUAUACAAAUUCGCGGCGAUGGUGAAUGAAGAAUUUAAAGAAAUUAUGUUUAUUCAGUUUUUGGUGAGCACGUUGGCUUUAUGCAGCGCACUUUAUCGUUUCACGCAAGGGAAACUGGACUCAAGAUUUAUCGAAACUGUGUUUUACACGAGCUGUGUCCUAAUUCAGGCGUUGUACUACUAUUGGUAUGGGAACGAAGUCAGAGAGAAGAGUCUCAGUGUUCCUGAGAUGGUAAUUGAUAGUAACUGGACAGCUUUGGAUAACGACUCGAAGAAGAUUCUUCUAAUGAUUAUGAAACGAGCUACGAUCCCUAUAGAGUUCAAUAGUUUUUAUAUUGCUUCGAUGGACGUCCCGACUUUUAUGGCUACAGCUUAUUCGGCUUAUAAUAUUCUACAACAAGGACAGGGAUAGUACGACCAAAAUAUUUUCUCUCUAUUCUCAGCAAAAUAUCGUUCAAUCUUCCAGGACGAAAUAAUUGAAGAGAAUGGGAAAGCAUGAGAAGACAAUGGAAAUUAUUAAUAUUGAAAAACUGUACUAGUGUAUAUAGACUCCAAUAGAACUUGUCAUCAGCUUCUAGAAUUUUUCUAAUGCUGGAAUGCAAAGAAAAACAACGCAAGGAACGUAACCUGCAUCAUUACCCUUAAACACUAUUAAUAAUUAAUUGGUGAAGCCGCAUCCCGUCGUUACGAUAAUAAUAUGCUCUCAGACAUAGAGGGAAAAUAACUGAAGAGAACUUACUUGGUUCAAGGGUAAUCGAAAAAUGCUGGCAUUCUAUAGCCCUCAGUAAUAUCUCACCGUUCGUUCAGUAAAGAGUCCGCACCGCGAAAAAAGAAAUUGAGUUAUUCCUGACGGCAGUUUUACCAUUUCUAUUUCGCUGUAAUGACGAAAAAGUAGAGAUCUUGAUUUAGAGUUAUCGCUUCAUCUUGACAGUGUUUUAACGAGUAAGGUAAUCAAAUCAAAUAUUUUCAAGUAUAUUGUAAAAUAACAGGACUUCAACGAGAAACCAAUGUAAAUUUCUGUGGAAAAGAAUUUUUA
RNA transcript from Hylaeus volcanicus, 1970 nucleotides. It is a transcript of the gene named odorant receptor 94b-like, with no coding region annotated. NCBI's taxonomy places the organism in Eukaryota, Metazoa, Arthropoda, Insecta, Hymenoptera, Colletidae. The transcript has 5 exons. The record is from RefSeq and is a predicted model, not a curated record.